This 373-nucleotide ribosomal RNA is filed under the name uncultured bacterium. RNAcentral's name for it is "bacterial SSU rRNA". It matches the Rfam family "Bacterial small subunit ribosomal RNA", at positions 525 to 896 of the family's 1533-position model. The record is from RNAcentral.
ACGAACCGUACAAACGUUAUUCGGAAUCACUGGGCUUAAAGGGUGCGUAGGCGGCCAUGUAAGUGAGGUGUGAAAUCCCUCGGCUCAACCGAGGAACUGCGCUUCAUACUGCAUGGCUUGAGGGAGACAGGGGUAAGCGGAACUGAUGGUGGAGCGGUGAAAUGCGUUGAUAUCAUCAGGAACACCGGUGGCGAAAGCGGCUUACUGGGUCUCUUCUGACGCUGAGGUACGAAAGCUAGGGUAGCGAACGGGAUUAGAUACCCCGGUAGUCCUAGCUGUAAACGAUGAGCACUUAUCUGGGGAUCCUCCCAUAGGUUCCCGGAUGUAGCGAAAGUGUUAAGUGCUCCGCCUGGGGAGUAUGGUCGCAAGGCUG